Molecule: ribosomal RNA, 253 nt
Filed under: uncultured bacterium
Lineage: Bacteria
Description: partial 16S ribosomal RNA
Rfam family: Bacterial small subunit ribosomal RNA
Source: RNAcentral
UACGUAGGGUGCAAGCGUUGUCCGGAAUUAUUGGGCGUAAAGAGCGCGUAGGCGGCCCUGUAAGUCCGCUGUGAAAGUCAAGGGCUCAACCCUUGAAUGCCGGUGGAUACUGCAGGGCUAGAGUCCGGAAGAGGUGAGUGGAAUUCCUGGUGUAGCGGUGAAAUGCGCAGAUAUCAGGAAGAACACCCGUGGCGAAGGCGGCUCUCUGGGACGGUACUGACGCUGAGACGCGAAAGCGUGGGGAGCAAACAGG